AUUGAACGCUGGCGGUAUGCUUAACAUAUGCAAGUCGAACGGCAGCACGGUAUGUAGCAGUACAUAUGGGUGGCAAGUGGCGGACGGGUGAGUAACGCGUAGGAAUCUGCCCUCAAGCGGGGGACAACCCGAGGAAACUCGGGCUAAUACCGCAUAAACUCGGAAGAGAAAAGCUGGGGUAACCUGGCACUUGAGGAGGAGCCUGCGUCUGAUUAGCUAGUUGGUAGGGUAAAGGCCUACCAAGGCGAUGAUCAGUAGCUGGUCUGAGAGGAGGACCAGCCACACUGGGACUGAGACACGGUCCAGACUCCUACGGGAGGCAGCAGUGGGGAAUAUUGGACAAUGGGGGAAACCCUGAUCCAGCAAUACCGCGUGUGUGAAGAAGGCCUUCGGGUUGUAAAGCACUUUAGUUGGGGAGGAAGGUUAGCAGUUUAAGAGAUGGCUAAUUUGACUGUACCCAAAGAAUAAGCACCGGCUAACUCUGUGCCAGCCGCCGCAGUAA
This 502-nucleotide ribosomal RNA is filed under the name uncultured bacterium. RNAcentral's name for it is "partial 16S ribosomal RNA". It matches the Rfam family "Bacterial small subunit ribosomal RNA", at positions 30 to 523 of the family's 1533-position model. The record is from RNAcentral.